AUGAAAAUAAUCAGCUGGAACUGCCGGGGACUCGGGAAUGGCCCGGCAGUUCGCUCUCUUCUCGAAUUGGGAAGAGUGGAGAAUCCCGAUGUUUUGCUCCUUUGUGAAACAUGGAUGGAGGAGAAGCAGCUGGGGAGGUUUAGGUGGUUGUUGGGGCUCGCCAACAUGGUAGCGCGGAAGGACGAAAGUAGUGGUAGGGGAGUGGCAUUGUUUUGGCGCAAGGAGUUGAAUGUUUCUCUCGGAUCAUACGGUAGGAGGCAUGUGGAUGUGGAUAUCACAAGGGAGGAUGGGCUGGUGUGGCGUCUCAAGGGGGUUUAUGGAGAAUCAGCCAUGGAGAGGAAGGAGACGUGGAAAACGAUGCGUAUUCUAAAACAGCAACACCAAGGUGGACGCCCGUGGCUGUGUCUUGGCGAUUUCAAUGAAGUUCUGACAAGUAGCGAGAAGCUUGGAGGAGCUGAUCGAUCGCAACGUUACCUCGAUGAAUUUCGCCAAGCAUUGAACUUCUAUGAGCUGAGAGACAUUGGCUUUGAAGGUGACUUGUAUACUUGGAGAAAUCAUAGCAAGGAGAUGCGAACAUAUAUAUGUGAAAGGUUGGACCGGGCCACCGCAAACAAUGACUAG
RNAcentral lists this ribosomal RNA (621 nucleotides) under Triticum aestivum (bread wheat). Its description in RNAcentral is "partial small subunit ribosomal RNA". Lineage: Eukaryota; Viridiplantae; Streptophyta; Magnoliopsida; Poales; Poaceae. The record is from RNAcentral.